AAAAUACAAGGCAGUUAAAAUGCUUUGUAAUUGGAAUGAUAGAAAUUUAAACCCUUUUUAAAGUAUCAAUUGGAGGGCAAGUCUGGUGCCAGCAGCCGCGGUAAUUCCAGCUCCAAUAGCGUAUAUUAAAAUUGUUGCAGUUAAAAAGCUCGUAGUUGAAGUUCUGCUGAAAGUAACCGGUCUGCUUUUAAUAAAAGUGGUAUCUUGGUAUGUAUUUAGCAAUGAUGUCCUUUGAAGUGUUUUUUACUUUAUUGUAAUAAAGCAUAUUCAGGACUUUUACUUUGAGAAAAUUAGAGUGUUUCUAGCAGGCUAACGCUUUGAAUACUGCAGCAUGGAAUAAUAAGAUAGGAUUUUAGUUCUACAUUAUUGGUUUUAAGAGCUAAAUUAAUGAUUGAUAGGGACAGUUGGGGGCAUUUGUAUUUAACUGUCAGAGGUGAAAUUCUUAGAUUUGUUAAAGACAAACUACUGCGAAAGCAUUUGCCAAAGAUGUUUUCAUUAAUCAAGAACGAAAGUUAGGGGAUCGAAGACGAUCAGAUACCGUCGUAGUCUUAACUAUAAACUAUGCCGACUAGAGAUUGGAGGUCGUCUUUAUAAAC
This 596-nucleotide ribosomal RNA is filed under the name Hepatozoon canis. Its description in RNAcentral is "SSU rRNA". It matches the Rfam family "Eukaryotic small subunit ribosomal RNA", at positions 477 to 1075 of the family's 1831-position model. The record is from RNAcentral. Lineage: Eukaryota; Apicomplexa; Hepatozoidae.